This 497-nucleotide ribosomal RNA is filed under the name uncultured bacterium. RNAcentral describes it as "partial 16S ribosomal RNA". It matches the Rfam family "Bacterial small subunit ribosomal RNA", at positions 28 to 507 of the family's 1533-position model. The record is from RNAcentral.
GAUGAACGCUGGCGGCGUGCCUAAUACAUGCAAGUCGAGCGAACGGACGAGAAGCUUGCUUCUCUGAUGUUAGCGGCGGACGGGUGAGUAACACGUGGAUAACCUACCUAUAAGACUGGGAUAACUUCGGGAAACCGGAGCUAAUACCGGAUAAUAUUUUGAACCGCAUGGUUCAAAAGUGAAAGACGGUCUUGCUGUCACUUAGAGAUGGAGCCGCGCUGCAUUAGCUAGUUGGUAAGGUAACGGCUUACCAAGGCAACGAUGCAUAGCCGACCUGAGAGGGUGAUCGGCCACACUGGAACUGAGACACGGUCCAGACUCCUACGGGAGGCAGCAGUAGGGAAUCUUCCGCAAUGGGCGAAAGCCUGACGGAGCCACGCCGCGUGAGUGAUGAAGGUCUUCGGAUCGUAAAACUCUGUUAUUAGGGAAGAACAUAUGUGUAAGUAACUGUGCACAUCUUGACGGUACCUAAUCAGAAAGCCACGGCUAACUACGUG